Molecule: non-coding RNA, 361 nt
Organism: Zea mays
Lineage: Eukaryota; Viridiplantae; Streptophyta; Magnoliopsida; Poales; Poaceae
Source: Rfam
CUGCCAACUGAGGACAUAUAAAGUGGACAUGGCAAUCUAUGCCACCAGCAGUGACAAUCAUGCCUUCAGAUGCAAUAACUUCAGUAUUGACCUGCAAUUUCAUGAAAUUUUAUCUCUUUUCUUUAGCAAAUUAAUAUGAAACGUUCAGUAAAUAGUUAGUUACCCCAACAAUCAUGUUGUUAUGGACACCAUCCAUGACAUCAGGGUUUCCAGCCUUUCCAAUAGCAACUAUAAGUCCACCUUUUAUACCGAUAUCAGCCUUGUAUAUUCCGGUAUAAUCAAUCACAACAGCAUUGGUUAUAACUGUAUCUAGGCAGAAAGAUUCUGGGUACCCUGAAGCUUGUCCCAUGCCAUCACGCAG